UACGUAGGGUGCAAGCGUUGUCCGGAAUUAUUGGGCGUAAAGCGCCCGCAGGCGGCUUGCCAAGUUCGAUGUGAAAUCUCCCGGCUCAACUGGGAGGGUGCAUCGAAAACUGGCAGGCUUGAGGCAGGGAGAGGGAUGUGGAAUUCCAGGUGUAGUGGUGAAAUGCGUAGAUAUCAAGAGGAACACCUGAGGUGAAGCCGGGUUGCUGGGCCGACACUGACGCUGAUGCGCGAAAGCCAGGGGAGCAAACGGG
This 253-nucleotide ribosomal RNA is filed under the name uncultured bacterium. RNAcentral describes it as "partial 16S ribosomal RNA". It matches the Rfam family "Bacterial small subunit ribosomal RNA", at positions 524 to 776 of the family's 1533-position model. The record is from RNAcentral.